GCGGCGAUGGCGGAACUGGCAGACGCGUACGUUUGAGGGGCGUAUGGCAACAGCCGUGCGGGUUCAAGUCCCGCUCGCCGCACCA
RNAcentral lists this transfer RNA (85 nucleotides) under Neomoorella humiferrea. RNAcentral's name for it is "Moorella humiferrea tRNA-Leu". It matches the Rfam family "tRNA". Rfam says of the family: Transfer RNA (tRNA) molecules are approximately 80 nucleotides in length. Their secondary structure includes four short double-helical elements and three loops (D, anti-codon, and T loops). Lineage: Bacteria; Bacillati; Bacillota; Clostridia; Neomoorellales; Neomoorellaceae. RNAcentral also lists the same sequence under 1 other name. The record is from RNAcentral.